RNAcentral lists this ribosomal RNA (767 nucleotides) under uncultured bacterium. Its description in RNAcentral is "bacterial SSU rRNA". It matches the Rfam family "Bacterial small subunit ribosomal RNA", at positions 96 to 878 of the family's 1533-position model. The record is from RNAcentral.
CGGCGAACGGGUGAGUAACGCGUAGGUAAUGUACCUUCUGGUGGGGAAUAACCUCGGGAAACCGGGGCUAAUACCGCAUAUUGUCCGAAAGGAUGAAAGCAGCAAUGCGCCAGUAGAGCAGCCUGCGUCCCAUUAUUUAUUCCUAGUUGGCGGGGUAAAAGCCCACCAAGGGUACGAUGGGUAGCUGGUCUGAGAGGAUGAUCAGCCACACUGGAACUGGGACACGGUCCAGACUCCUACGGGAGGCAGCAGUGGGGAAUAUUGCGCAAUGGGCGAAAGCCUGACGCAGCCACGCCGCGUGAGUGAUGAAGGCCUUCGGGUUGUAAAGCUCUGUCGGGAGGGACGAAGGGGAAACUCUGACGGUACCUCGCAAGAAAGCACCGGCUAACUCUGUGCCAGCAGCCGCGGUAAUACAGAGGGUGCAAGCGUUGCUCGGAUUUACUGGGCGUAAAGCGUACGCAGACGGCUGCAAAGGUCGGGUGUGAAAGCCCGGGGCUCAACCCCGGAAAUGCAUCCGAAACCAUGCAGCUCGAGUAUGAGAGAGGGAAGCGGAAUUCCUGGUGUAGAGGUGAAAUUCGUAGAUAUCAGGAGGAACAUCUGUGGCGAAGGCGGCUUCCUGGCUCAUUACUGACGUUCAGGUACGAAAGCGUGGGUAGCAAACAGGAUUAGAUACCCUGGUAGUCCACGCCGUAAACGAUGUGUGCUGGGUGUCGGGGGUAUUCACCCCCUCGGUAUCGAAGCUAACGCGAUAAGCACACCGCCUGGGG